CGCUGGCAAUGGGUAUAUACAUAUAGAGGGAGCGAGUUUCAGUUCGAAAACAUUGCAUUGGUUUGCUUUGAUCUUGGUGUCCAUCUUUAAUGGGUGGUGAAGAGCAAUGUAGAGCAUGGGAUUGCUCUUCUUGUAGUAAAAUAUUGCUUAGAUAGAAGCUCAUUCACCAUAGUUGGUAUGUUUAGCGGAGGUCAGAAUGAGAAGAAAGCUUCAGUUGACUUGGUUUUUCUUCGGAACAGAUUGUGGUUGCUGACAAAAUAUUGGUGGUCGCUGGCAUGUGCCCAAUAGUUGGGAAUGCGGGAGGUGAGUAGUGCACAAAGACCGGAAUUGGGGAGCAUUGGCAUGACAGUAGUUAGCCUGCGAGGCAGUUUGAAGGAUGCCAUAGAGCGUGCAGAUCACUUGUUCGACGGAAUUACUCAGAAGAUAAGACCACAUGGUUACUUAGUCAGAUGAAAUGGGUUACUUCAAAAUGCUUCAGCCUCUGCGAUAUUAUGCUUGUAAGGGUUUACAGACACUCAACCUCUGCAGUAACGGAGUGUUACUUUUCUUUUUCAACUCAUAUAUCAAUAACCAAGCUCAGGUUUUUCAGUAGCUCCACUGAUAGUGUAAACCCACCAGAAAUGAAUUCAGUUUCCAAGAUGAAUUCAAAGUCAAGUAUGGAAACGAGAACUUCAUCAGAGCUGCAGGAGAAAGAAAAGGAGAACUUGAUCCCCUACUUGUUGGAAACAAGCAAAACGCCUCCUUUCCUGGUCCCAGCUUUUAAUAUUUGUAAGAUCCUUAUUCAGAGCAAACAGUGGUCUGAAUCGGUAGAGACGGAGAUUCAGGGUCUGAAUGUGGAGUUGAACACCUACAUUGUCAAUCACGUCUUGGGGAGUCUCUCGGCUGAAAUGGGUUUCUGUUUUUACAACUGGGCUGAAUCCAAAUUGGGCUUUAAACAUGACCGCUUUACAAGUAGAUCCAUGAUUUUUGCACUUCUUCGUGAUUGCAACUAUGAUCUCUUAUCACAGUUUUGGCAGAGAAUGAAGGAUGCAGGCUUUCCAGUACAUCGGUCUAUAUAUCGUAUUCUUAUAUCAGGUUACGUUAGAUCUGGGUUAACUGACCUUGCUAUCCAAACUUUCGAUGAGAUGCUUGAUUCUGAUUGCAGGGUGUUCAGUAUAGAUUAUGAUAGAUUUGUUGGAGUAUUAGUUCGGGAAUCUCGCUUUGAUUUGGCUGAGCAUUACUACAGUAGAUUGAUGCUGCAAGGAUUUUCUUUAUGCGUAUUUACAUAUUCAAGGUUCAUCUCUGGGCUCUGCAAGGUGAAGCAUCUGGGUCUCAUUAGCAGACUUCUAGAUGACAUGGAUAAGCUCAGGUAUGUCCCUGACAUUUGGGCUUAUAAUAUAUAUAUUAAUCUCUUGUGCCAGGAAAAUAGAUUAGAUGUUGCCCUUGAAGUACUGCAGAUGAUGAGUCAGAAAGGAAGAGAUCCUGAUCUUGUUUCCUACACCACAGUUAUUAAUGGUUUGUGCAAAUUUGGACUCCUUGAAACAGCAGUGGAGAUUUGGCGUGAAUUGAUUAGAAAGGGAUUUAGCCCGGAUGCUACAGCUUGUGGGGCUUUGGUUUUUGGUUUGUGUAAUUGUGGGAAAGUUGAUUUGGCUUAUGAGCUUAUGGUGGGAAUGAUCAAGGGUCAAGUUGAGUUGAGUACUUCAAUUUACAAUGCUCUUAUUAAUGGAUUUUGUCGAGCUGGUCGGAUUGAUAAAGCCCAAAUAAUCAAGUCAUUCAUGAUAAGGAAUGGCUGCAGACCAGAUUUGAUUACAUAUAACAUACUGUUGAAUUAUUGUUGUAAUAGGCGUAUGAUUGAGGAAGCAGAGGGAUUGAUGGAAAAGAUGAAGAGGAGUCGCUUAAGACCUGAUAGCUACAGUUACAAUCAGCUUUUGAAGGGCCUCUGUAAGGCUAACCGACAAGAAAAAGCAUACCAUUUGAUGGUAACAGAGAUGGAAACAAAGGGAUUUUGUGAUGUUGUGUCAUACAACACUCUCAUUAGAUCACUCUGCCAAGCCGGCCACGCCAAAAGGGCAUACAGGUUAUUUGAGGAAAUGGGGCAAAAAGGGAUUGUCCCAGAUGUCGUGACUUUCACAAUUCUCAUAAAUGCUUCUUUUAGAGAAGAUCGUUCUGAAUUUGCGGAGGAUCUUUUUGACCAAAUGGUCGGGAUGGGAUUGAUUCCUGAUCGUGUUGUAUAUACAACAAUGGUUGAUCAUCUGUGCAGGACUGGUAGAAUCGAGAUGGCUCGAAGCGUCUUCUUCAAUAUGGUUGAGAAAGGAAUUGUCCCUGACGUAGUUUCAUACAAUGCCCUUAUAAAUGGACUUUGCAAGGCUUCUAGGGCUAGUGAAGCCAUGCAUCUUUAUGAGGACAUGCGUGCUUAUGGGCCUCAUCCUGAUGAGGUGACCUAUAAAGUGAUUAUCUCAGGGCUUAUACAGGAGGAAAAGCUUUCAAUGGCUUGUCAGGUGUGGGACCAGAUGAUGGAGAAUGGGUUUACUCUAGACAAAGUGGUUUCUAAUGAUCUUAUAAAAACCAUUAGUUCAAAGGAUGCAACUUUCAUGAAUGGCAGAAGAUAUUGAAACCUACAGUACUGAAGCCCAUUAAAUGACAGAGAGUUAGACCACGGUGCACUAAGUUAAGCCAGCUGUUGAUGGUAUCUGCAAUUCAUCCUGCCUAGACAAAGGAAAAGGGGCAUUCAGGGAUGUGGAAGCGAUAAAAGAACCUAGAAUUUGAAUUAAGAAGUUGUAAUGAUUUAUGCCGUACAUCAUACUUUUAUUGCGUAGUUGUGGUCAUCACCUAGCCAUCAACUACUGCUUCGACAACCUUGACAACAAGUUGAUGGAGACCCUCUUGUCAGGUCUAGCUUCCAUGAAGAUGAGUUCCGAUGCAGAGAAGAAAUUCAAUAUAGAGAAGGCCAUGUCUUCCUGUCACUGAUGAUGUCCUCCAGUGAUCAUGGUUUGCUUUCACUGGUGAAUAUGAUGAAAUGUCUCAACCUGAAGGGACAAGAUGGAUCCUGUGGAACCCAUGUUGGGUUGAGCUCAUCCAGGGCUCCAAGAAAGAUUGUGAGAUGUUCAACGUCAACUGGGUCAAAAUGUUUCAGCCUUGAAGAAGAAAAGAUUGACCAGUGACUACUACCGCUACUCUCUAUGGCUGAUGAUUCUGACGAUGAAAAAGUUGGGUUGAGAAGAGAGGAUAGAAGAAGCUCUGGCCAAUGGACAUGGACACCCUAUGUUUUCUGGUUGUUCUUUGAAUUUAUUUCUGAGCUACUCCUGCAGCUAAUUUUCUUGGAUUUUUUUUUUUGUUCUUUAGUAUACUGUUUUAAGACUUUUACGUUCUAUGUAUGACCUAGAGAACAUCAUUUUGAAUAGAAGAUAAGGUGUUUUAUCAGUUAAAA
Macadamia integrifolia is the source of this 3406-nucleotide RNA transcript. It is a transcript of the gene named pentatricopeptide repeat-containing protein At1g13040, mitochondrial, with no coding region annotated. NCBI's taxonomy places the organism in Eukaryota, Viridiplantae, Streptophyta, Magnoliopsida, Proteales, Proteaceae. The record is from RefSeq and is a predicted model, not a curated record. The transcript has 6 exons.